Molecule: transfer RNA, 72 nt
Filed under: Bos taurus (domestic cattle)
Lineage: Eukaryota; Metazoa; Chordata; Mammalia; Artiodactyla; Bovidae
Also listed under: 4 other names
Rfam family: tRNA
About the family: Transfer RNA (tRNA) molecules are approximately 80 nucleotides in length. Their secondary structure includes four short double-helical elements and three loops (D, anti-codon, and T loops).
Source: Rfam by way of RNAcentral
ACUUUCCUGGUCCAGUGGCUAAGACUCUGCACUCCCAAUGCAGGGGACCUGGGUUCUAUCCCUGGUCAAGGA